UGGGGAAUUUUGGACAAUGGGCGCAAGCCUGAUCCAGCCAUGCCGCGUGAGUGACGAAGGUCUUCGGAUUGUAAAGCUCUUUUUGGCGGGGACGAUAAUGACGGUACCCGCAGAAUAAAGCCCCGGCUAACUUCGUGCCAGCAGCCGCGGUAAUACGAAGGGGGCUAGCGUUGUUCGGAAUCACUGGGCGUAAAGCGCACGUAGGCGGAUUUGUUAGUCAGGGGUGAAAUCCCGGGGCUCAACCUCGGAACUGCCUCUGAUACUGCAAAUCUCGAGUCCGAUAGAGGUGAGUGGAAUUCCUAGUGUAGAGGUGAAAUUCGUAGAUAUUAGGAAGAGCACCAGUGGCGAAGGCGGCUCACUGGAUCGGUACUGACGCUGAGGUGCGAAAGCGUGGGGAGCAAACAGGAUUAGAUACCCAUGUAGUCCCUGAGCGGGCUGGCAAGGCGCAU
Molecule: ribosomal RNA, 449 nt
Filed under: uncultured bacterium
Lineage: Bacteria
Description: bacterial SSU rRNA
Rfam family: Bacterial small subunit ribosomal RNA
Source: RNAcentral